CUCCUUUGACGUUAGCGGCGGACGGGUGAGUAACACGUGGGUAACCUACCUAUAAGACUGGGAUAACUUCGGGAAACCGGAGCUAAUACCGGAUAAUAUUUCGAACCGCAUGGUUCGAUAGUGAAAGGUGGUUUUGCUAUCACUUAUAGAUGGACCCGCGCCGUAUUAGCUAGUUGGUAAGGUAACGGCUUACCAAGGCGACGAUACGUAGCCGACCUGAGAGGGUGAUCGGCCACACUGGAACUGAGACACGGUCCAGACUCCUACGGGAGGCAGCACC
RNAcentral lists this ribosomal RNA (280 nucleotides) under uncultured Staphylococcus sp. RNAcentral's name for it is "partial 16S ribosomal RNA". It matches the Rfam family "Bacterial small subunit ribosomal RNA", at positions 81 to 353 of the family's 1533-position model. Lineage: Bacteria; Bacillati; Bacillota; Bacilli; Caryophanales; Staphylococcaceae. The record is from RNAcentral.